UGCUUUUUCACAUUAGCAGGGUCUAGCCUU
This 30-nucleotide non-coding RNA is filed under the name Rattus norvegicus (Norway rat). The record is from RNAcentral. Lineage: Eukaryota; Metazoa; Chordata; Mammalia; Rodentia; Muridae.